CCAAGGAGUUGAACAUGUGCGCGAGUCACACAGUCUUGAUUAGGCUAGUGAGGCGCAUUGAAAGUAAAGCUUGUUAAGUUACGAUCCUCAUGCAGUUAUUCGCAUGUAAUGUGUGUGGUAACGGUGAGGCGCAGUAACAGCCCGCUAAUUUCGCUUUUUGACGAUCUGGCGGAGUUGUAGCGUACACGUUCAGACCCGAAAGAUGGUGAACUAUGCCUGGGCAAGACGAAGCCAGAGGAAACUCUGGUGGAGGUCUGUAGCGAUUCUGACGUGCAAAUCGAUCGUCAGACCUGGGUAUAGGGGCGAAAGACUAAUCGAACCAUC
This 324-nucleotide ribosomal RNA is filed under the name Provertex kuehnelti. RNAcentral describes it as "eukaryotic LSU rRNA". It matches the Rfam family "Eukaryotic large subunit ribosomal RNA", at positions 666 to 944 of the family's 3401-position model. The record is from RNAcentral. Lineage: Eukaryota; Metazoa; Arthropoda; Arachnida; Sarcoptiformes; Scutoverticidae.